GGAAGUAAAAGUCGUAACAAGGUUUCCGUAGGUGAACCUGCGGAAGGAUCAUUAUCGAGUUUUGACUGGGUUGUAGCUGGCCUUCCGAGGCAUGUGCACGCCCUGCUCAUCCACUCUACACCUGUGCACUUACUGUGGGUUCCAGACGUUGUGAAGCGGGCUCUUUACGGAGCUUGUAAAGCGGCGUGCCUGUGCCUGCGUUUAUCACAAACUCUAUAAAGUAUUAGAAUGUGUAUUGCGAUGUAACGCAUCUUUAUACAACUUUCAGCAACGGAUCUCUUGGUUCUCGCAUCGAUGAAGAACGCAGCGAAAUGCGAUAAGUAAUGUGAAUUGCAGAAUUCAGUGAAUCAUCGAAUCUUUGAACGCACCUUGCGCUCCUUGGUAUUCCGAGGAGUAUGCCUGUUUGAGUGUCAUGAAAUCUUCAACUUACAGACCUUUGCGGGUUUGUAGGCUUGGACUUGGAGGCUUGUCGGCCGUGUUUUGGUCGGCUCCUCUUAAAUGUAUUAGCUUGAUUCCUUGCGGAUCGGCUCUCGGUGUGAUAAUGUCUACGCCGCGACCGUGAAGCGUUUUGGCGAGCUUCUAACCGUCUCGUUUGUGAGACAGCUUUAUGACCUCUGACCUCAAAUCAGGUAGGACUACCCGCUGAACUUAAGCAUAUCA
This 660-nucleotide ribosomal RNA is filed under the name Ganoderma resinaceum. Its description in RNAcentral is "partial 5.8S ribosomal RNA". The stretch from base 260 to 413 matches the Rfam family "5.8S ribosomal RNA". The record is from RNAcentral. Lineage: Eukaryota; Fungi; Basidiomycota; Agaricomycetes; Polyporales; Polyporaceae.